UACGUAGGGUGCAAGCGUUGUCCGGAAUUAUUGGGCGUAAAGAGCUCGUAGGCGGUUUGUCGCGUCUGCUGUGAAAACUCGGGGCUUAACUCCGGGCCUGCAGUGGGUACGGGCAGACUAGAGUGCGGUAGGGGAGACUGGAAUUCCUGGUGUAGCGGUGAAAUGCGCAGAUAUCAGGAGGAACACCGAUGGCGAAGGCGGGUCUCUGGGCCGAUACUGACGCUGAGGAGCGAAAGCGUGGGGAGCGAACAGG
RNAcentral lists this ribosomal RNA (253 nucleotides) under uncultured bacterium. RNAcentral describes it as "partial 16S ribosomal RNA". It matches the Rfam family "Bacterial small subunit ribosomal RNA", at positions 524 to 776 of the family's 1533-position model. The record is from RNAcentral.